Molecule: ribosomal RNA, 419 nt
Filed under: uncultured Gemmatimonas sp.
Lineage: Bacteria; Pseudomonadati; Gemmatimonadota; Gemmatimonadia; Gemmatimonadales; Gemmatimonadaceae
Description: bacterial SSU rRNA
Rfam family: Bacterial small subunit ribosomal RNA
Source: RNAcentral
UGGGGAAUCUUGCGCAAUGGACGAAAGUCUGACGCAGCGACGCCGCGUGGGGGAUGAAGGCUUUCGGGUUGUAAACCCCUGUUGCCCGGGACGAACUUCCGCUUUCGAGCGGAUUGACGGUACCGGGUGAGGAAGCACCGGCUAACUCUGUGCCAGCAGCCGCGGUAAUACAGAGGGUGCGAGCGUUGUCCGGAAUCACUGGGCGUAAAGGGCGCGUAGGUGGCGCGACAAGUCGGUGGUGAAAGUUCGACGCUCAACGUCGAAUCGGCCACCGAUACUGUCGGGCUCGAGCACUGUAGAGGCUAAUGGAAUUCCGGGUGUAGCGGUGGAAUGCGUAGAGAUCCGGAAGAACACCGGUGGCGAAGGCGGUUAGCUGGGCAGUUGCUGACACUGAGGCGCGACAGCGUGGGGAGCAAACA